UACACUCCUACGGGAGGCAGCAGUGGGGAAUUUUGGACAAUGGGCGAAAGCCUGAUCCAGCAAUGCCGCGUGAGUGAAGAAGGCCUUCGGGUUGUAAAGCUCUUUUGUCAGGGAAGAAACGGUGAAAGCUAAUAUCUUUUGCUAAUGACGGUACCUGAAGAAUAAGCACCGGCUAACUACGUGCCAGCAGCCGCGGUAAUACGUAGGGUGCAAGCGUUAAUCGGAAUUACUGGGCGUAAAGCGUGCGCAGGCGGUUUUGUAAGUCUGAUGUGAAAUCCCCGGGCUCAACCUGGGAAUUGCAUUGGAGACUGCAAGGCUAGAAUCUGGCAGAGGGGGGUAGAAUUCCACGUGUAGCAGUGAAAUGCGUAGAUAUGUGGAGGAACACCGAUGGCGAAGGCAGCCCCCUGGGUCAAGAUUGACGCUCAUGCACGAAAGCGUGGGGAGCAAACAGGAUUAGAUACCCCUGUAGUCCCAUGA
RNAcentral lists this ribosomal RNA (477 nucleotides) under uncultured organism. Its description in RNAcentral is "partial 16S ribosomal RNA". It matches the Rfam family "Bacterial small subunit ribosomal RNA", at positions 332 to 800 of the family's 1533-position model. The record is from RNAcentral.